Long non-coding RNA from Parus major (Great Tit), 6473 nucleotides. RefSeq lists it as uncharacterized. NCBI's taxonomy places the organism in Eukaryota, Metazoa, Chordata, Aves, Passeriformes, Paridae. The record is from RefSeq and is a predicted model, not a curated record. The transcript is spliced from 3 exons.
AGGAAGUGUAAGUGGAAUACUAAUGGAGAAUUAAUCAUGCACCUCUCCCUCUGCUUCCUUUUACUUUUGGAAACAAGCCACAGCCUCUUAUUUCUUCCCCAGGUUUGUUUUCAGGAUGGAUGUUUAUUCCGGUAGAGUUGGAGCUGCUGGCAGAAGGGGCUGAUCUGGUGAUGUCACUGGAACUUUCCAGUUUAAGCUGCUUUCCUGCCUCUGCCACAUGUGGACGUUGAAACGACAUUAACAUCCAAACCCAAUAGUCAACCAUUUUUAAGAGAGCAUGUUUUUUGCUGGUACUAUCGUGAGCUCUUGAGUUCAAGUUUCACAGCUUUUUCUCCAUGAUUCCAAGGAUGCACCAGGCUGUCUCUGCACUGAAGAUGCACCAGGGCAGUGAGCUGUGGUCCCCUUGUUGACACUGGCCAGGCACUCCUGCUGAAAGGAUGGGGGUGAGCCAUUUGGAGAGCCUAUGCCCUGGUCAAUUGGAGCAGGUGGAUGUGAAAUGAAUGAUUAAAUAAAUGCAGUGGCCAUUGCACACCCUCCCUCCAACAGUACAAAGCACAGAAACAUCCUAUUUCAGAUUUGAUAUCUGCUAUCAAUUGAGAUUGAAGGUAUUGAUCCAGGCUGAUUGCUGGGGAUAAUCAGUAAGUGGAGGGUAAUUGACUGUCAUGUCUCUCAUUGAUUGGGCACCAUAGUUCACAGCAGCCAACAUUAUUUUCAAGCACUUUGCAGCAUCUCCUUUAAUAAGGAAAUACAGACUUUAAGUAACAGUGAUUUAUGUGCGCUGCCAUUUAGAGGGUGGGUGAGGACAUUCUUAGCCAACAUGUCCUUGCCUUAAACAAACUGAAAGGUGCCACCAGGAGAAUGCUGGAGCAGGAAAGCAAGGAUUUUGGUUUGCAUGUGUGUUGCUGUGAGCCAGCACCGUGCUGUGGGACUAUCCCACUCCUCCUCUGCUGCUGCUUGGCUGCAGUAGAUACUAACAGAGGGCCUUUGAGGCAGCAAAGGCACUGCACGUGGGCCAGGAGAGUGUGACCUCCUCUCUAGGUUGCUUCAAGUGUUAAAGCAACUAAUAUUUUAUAUAUUUUAUAUGUGUUCUACCAGGGCUCAUUAGCAACUGAUCCAGAAAACUUUCCUGGGAGAAGAAUAAAUUGGGAAAGUUGCUGCAAUCAAAUCCACAAAAAGCUCACAUAAAAUUUUUACAUAUAAUCAGGACGGAAAAGUUACCUCAUUUCCUGCCAUGCACUUCAAAUUACUAUAGACAAAGAUUAUUCAAUCCUAAUACUUAUGGUGAGCAUGAAACCUCUUUCUGUACUUACCAGGAACAGGCAGAUUAAAUAUCUUUUCUCCUUGAGGAGAGACUGGGUUAGUAACCUGCAAAGUGGCUGCUGUUGGUUUUUAACAAUCUGUACUACCUGACACUUUGGUGCCUCUCAUCUGCAAGCUCCUUUGGGUAGGGACUGCUCCCUGUGAACUGAGGUCCAGUGAAAUGAAUGGAGUUGAGUUGUUCCAUGAAUUAGUGUACCUAAAUAUCUUAGUUCCUUGGCUUUGGAGUGGAUUCAGGGAUGAAGGUCCCAAUUUUGACUCCACAAAACCCAGAACUGGUCACAUUCUAGUCACGGCUAAAGCAAAGCAGGCUGCAGAGUUACUGUACAUGCUGGUUUCCCACCUAAACAUUAUUUACAGGCAGAUUUGGAGGCUUUUUAUGUGUUUGUCUCGGAUUUCCCAAUGUCUGGCAGCCUGUUGGGAGUUGCCAGAUGUCCAGAGAUGCUGACCUCGCCAGCUAAGCAUGCACAAGCUCUUUCACUUCAGGCUCAAAGCAAGCCCAGUGCCUCCAGCACCACACGGUUGGCCACUCACGUGGUGUCUGGCCCUUUGAAGAAUGUGGAGGAAGAGCAGGAGAUGCCAGGGAUUCUGUCUACAGCCUGUCCCAGCAGCACAGCCAGCUUCAGUCACUGUGAUGCAUCCUGAAGUCUUUGUCCUAGUGGGCAGCACUGUUUGUUCGAGUCAUUUGAGAUUCAGGAGCAACAUAGGGGUGGGAGAACAUGCAGGAAGAAGCCUGUGGACUUUGUGAAUGUACAUAAGGCAUGAAGGCAACUCUGACAGAUCUGUGUCAGUGUGUAGCCACUGUUCCUUGAGCGCUUGCUCUAAGCCCCAAAGUUGGCUUUUUCCUUACAAAUAGGACUUAAUGAGCUACCCUUUACCCAGAUUUCUCAUUGAUUUCCUUCCCAGCUUUCAGGUGGUCAAACCCCACCUGAAAGUGAGUUUUGGGCGCUUCUCACCCAUCACAGUUGCUGAGUUGAGCUGUUCUUCCCCUUGGGUUUCAGUCUGUUAAGCAGCUCAGCCCAACCUGCUUUUAGUUUGCUUUGUCUUGACUUUUUGGUGCUGCUGGUGAACCGAAACACCCAUCUCUUGUGUCGAGGGCAGGGCAGACUGGGGAAGUCACUGAAGCCACUGAAAUUUCACAGUGACAGGUGGCAGCCCUGCGGGCAUCGCUCAUGAGUCAGCCACGCCGCAGGGCAGCGAGGGCGCCUGAGGAGGUUUCUCAUCCCACCCAAGUUUCCUUUCCUGGGAAGCAGGGUGACUGUGCUGGGGUGCGUGGGCUGUGUGAGCUCCCAGAGAGUCAAACCCAAACCGAGCUGACAGAAUAGCUGUAGCCUCAAGCGCCCCAGCAAAAACCUCCUGUGCUGGAGGCUUAAACUGCUGAUUACACAGAGCUGGCUGGCCCUGGGUCACAGUCGAGGUGCUGGCUCAGACCAUGGCUAAAUGUGCAAGAGAAACAGAAAAAAUGCUGUGCUAGAUGGGGUCAAUGCAUCAGUCACUUCAGAGAGAGGUAAAACCUACAAACAGCAGCCAUGUGUUGCUUACUCCCCCUCAAUUUUUUCUGUUAAUCCCAACAAUCCUGUACUGGUGGGUUUAUGGAAGUGUAAGACUGGGAUCCCCUCCGACCCCUCUUAAAAUAACUUGUGUGAGAGCUCCACAUGUGCUUUUAGUGAGCAACUGCACUAUUUCCAUUGCAUUUGCUGAAGAGGGGAUGAUGAGAAGGAGGAAGAGGAAGGUUGUGUGAGCCAGCAGUUAAUACUGAAGGACAAAAAAUUUAAAGGUUUAGCGUCACAGCAUUAAUUUACACAAAAUAAGAAGAAUUUCUCCUUAUUGAGUGGAUAUACUGCAGGAAUAUACAACAGGACAAGCAGGGCAAAUGCAUGCCACAGUGAAACAAGAGUUAAACAACAUCCCUGUGAUAGAUCAUUAAGGAUAUGGAGUCUAAAUGUGUGGCAAAACUACAGCAUUGUGCAGAUGCUCCUAUACCAGCAACUUAUUUUACAUAUUGCAAAGUGUAGAGAUAAUUCCCAGUAGCAAAUGCACACAAAACCCAACCUAUUCCAUACUGAAUGCAAAUUUGGAUUGUUGGACAAGGUGAAUUUGGAGGGGUGAGUGGGACUGAGUUGAGCUGCUUCUGCCUGGGAUUACAGCUGCCUUCAGCUGGAAAUGGAACUUGUCUCCCUGCAACCUCCCCACUUCAGACCAGCCAUGUGUACAGCAGGGAUGGAUCAACAAGGAGUGAGAAGGGUUAAAUAAACAACAGAGCCAGGACUAAAUAGGUAAAUGCUGAGGAAUUCUCUUUUUUAACAUGUAUAUAUAUUGAGAAAAAAAUUAAGGCAACAUUCCUCCCGCUAAUUAGUGUUUCCUCGGCACUGUGCAAACUACAGCUGUAGGAAGAAUUCAGGAAAAGUAAUCAGCAGCACAAUUAAGCAAUCUGCCAUAAUGACAGAACACAACUUUAGGGAUAGAAUAAUCAGAAACAUAUAUAUUUCUCCUUCUUGAUUUUCAUUUCCCACCCAAUGAUUUGCCUUUGCAGGGUGUAUAUAAAGCAGUGCCUGAUAGAAAUGCCCAUAUUUCUCUGCUACAGCUUCCAGACCUUGCUGCAGUGAGGAUGCCCAUGUUAAUUCCUGCCAAUCACUGACAACUAAUGUUAUUCUUACUGUUAUUUUUGAAAACCUAAUGUUUGAUCUGCUUUAAUCCUAAUUUUGCCACCCUGUCUCAUAUAAACUCCCUUCACUCCUUUAAAUUAGAGACUCUAGCUCCUUUAAGUGGAAGAUAUCCAGACAAGAAAUCCUGGAGCCGAGGUCCCUUUUUUUCCUGCCAGCCAUCCACCCAAGGAAGCAGAGCAGGGAGAUGCUUCACACUGUGUUUGUGCAACCUCCAGCUCUGCUCAGGAGAGGAAAACGCCUACACCUGUGAGCAGACAGUGAGGGGAAUGGGCCUGACCCGCUCCAUCUGCACAAGCUGUUUUCCCAGAGCUCCCUCAGGCUAUAGGAACCGACAAAGAAGGUAGGCUCCUCUCCAAGGAGGUGGUUUGGAAGGGAGAAGGGAAACAUGACCCUUGAGAAGGGGCUCCCAUGCAUUUCAGCUCUCUGCCAGUCGUGGACCAAGGCUGGUUGGAAUGAAGCCACAGGAGAGAGUGAAGCUCGUGUGUUGCUGUGGGAAGGUAGGUGUUCUCCUUGGGCUCUGCUCGGGGUGUUUACUGGCUACUGGGAGGGGGCUCUCAGAAAAACAGGAAGAGAAGCAGUUUUGGUGGAGUCAGGAGUGAUCUAUGUGCUCUGCUAGGUCACAGUCAUUAACACUGGGACACGGUGAGUUUUGUGGUGGUAUUUCCCAGGAGCUGCUGAAAUUAUUGGACAAGGCCACCAGCCUUUCCCUGGGAGGUGGCAGCACUGCAGUGAUGUUGCAGGAUCCUUCCAGGAUGGUGGAGCAGGUGGGAUUGCUCCUGAAGGCGUCUGGAUGGAGCUCUCAACUGUGCUUUGUUCAGCUGGGGUGUGUUGGUGCCCUGUUAUCCUCGCACAAUCAUGGACUUCCUCCUGCUCAUUCCCAGAUGGAGCUUUUCCUUAUUAUUCCCCUGUAUGGAAAGAGUUGGCUGGUCCUGGAGGUUCUUAGAAGUGGCUCAAGUUUGUAGCUUCUGGUGUAAGAGAAGGCCUUAGGUGUUUUGCAUUUACAUGUGGCUGGUAAAAACUUAGCUUCCAUCAGAAAUAAACUAGGAACUGUAAAUGUUGUAUUGAGGAAUCUUUAUAAAUGCAGUUCUCUGGUUUGCAUCCUAUAUAACCUAAUAAAACGACAACUAUGAAGUUACAUAUUUUGACAAUUAAAUUUUCAUAAUGGGAUAAGUGCAGCUUGCAGCCUGGAACUUUGAUAACCUGAAAAACUUUUAUUUUUGUCUUAGGGGAUAAGCUUGACAUAAAAACUUAAAGAAACACCCUAACACUGAGGAGCCCAAGACCUCCUCAUGUGCAGGAAGAUGUGAGUUCCACCUGCUUCAGGCACUAAUGAAAAAUCUUAAUGCCACUUAAAUAAUUUUCUGGUAUUUGUCUUAGUAUGGCAAAAGAAUAAAUUCUCUUGGGGGCCAGAUUCUUCUGUCACUAAAGCUGAUGAAAAGUCACAUUACCAUGACCUGUUCCAGAGCUUUUGGAUCAGAACUGGUGCUAUUCUGUGAGCUCCCUUUUCAUCUGGGACACUGGCCUGCAAACAAACAGACACACAGAGCUGUUCCUCCUCUUCCUGUGUGCCCCUGUUAGUGGAAAUCAUUGGGAACACCAAGUCCAGGGAGCAGAGAUGUGUCUAUAAAACUCGUUCACAAAAUCCUAAACCAUGAAGGAAUGCUGGGUUAAUUUUUCAUCUGAGUAUCAGCUGAAAGUAAUGUAAACCCCAAAUUAAUGCAGACAAUGCCUAGUCAGGUCUGCAGGCCCUCUGUAUUUUUGAAUUCUUUUCUACUAAAACUCAAUAAAAACAUGGGGGUGGAAGGUGCUGCUGGGAAUUUGCUUUUUGUUCUGCUUAAGUGCUGUAUUUCUCAGCAGUCUUCAAGUUGCUCAGCAUGAAGAUAUUGUUACAUUAGAACUACUGUGGGUUUAACACAAUUCAGAAUUUGCAGGCAAAUGGAUAUAUUGUGUUGGGGCUUAUCCACAAAGGACUGUGAAACUACAAAUUACAACCCAGCUGCAUUCUCUUAUCUGGAUUUUUUCCCCCUCAUGUGCCUGUGACUCCUCCCCUGCUCACAAGCAGAAGGUGUAAGGAGAAACCCAAACGAGAAAAAGAGACAUAGGCCUGAAGUCAGAAGGGGCCCUGACACUGGAGAUCCUGCCCUUGUCUGUGGGUGCUUUCCAUUAGCAGAGGAUGUGGUGCCUCUGGAUCUAGUGUUUUAGUGAUUGCCUGAGAACUUUGUUUCUGUAAUUCUCCCUAGAAAACUGUGGCAGAUGUGGCAAUAGUCAGCACAUCCACAGAAUGCUUCUCUGACAAGGAAGAAGAAGGGGGCAACUCUUUUUGGAUUGUUAAAUAAGCCAAACAUAGGAUCCACCCAUGUUAGGUUCUGAGCUGUUCUUGGUCCUCAUUCUUCCUUUCUGAAGGGAAUUAAAAACCCCCAGUAAGUCCCUAUGGGAGAAGUAGGAGAUAUUUACACUUAGAGUAGUUUGAGACAAGGCUUUAGCAGCUGU